CUGAACACAGUGUGUAUACAUAAUGAGUAGGUCCGUUUUCCUGCCAAAUGUAUUUAAUUUAGUUGGCCUGGCUGAGAAUAAUCUUGUUCUUUACUUACAAAUGCAAAUUAAUUGAACAGUUGUUUGGUGUACACUGUACAUUUUCAGAGGAGUAUAUAUUUAUACUUCUUCACAACCACUAGCAAACUUAGAGCAGACUUUAGUUUUAAGUGAGUGUGGUGAUUCUUGUGGGGUCAUACCAGCUUGCAUGUUUUCUGGUCUUGCCUAGUCAUAAUUUUAUUUUUGGAAAAUUGUACUUUCUAAGAUUUGAGACUGACCAUCCCUUUCAGCCUUUACUUAUGUUUCUACGUCAUAUCACUAUAACUUUGCAAAAAAUACAAGAAACGCUUUACUAAGCAUUUACUGAUUGCUGAGUUCUUCAUCCCCAUUGGUUCUCCAAGAGGAGAGAGGAGGGAGCUCUCACACACAGGGCCAAUGGGGUUAAAGAUAGAGGAAUUUAAAGUGGGGCUUGAUGUGGAGGGUUAUGGCUGCUUGUUUUUAAUGUUGAUUUUAAAUAUUGAUCCCCGAGGAAGUUUGAAUCAGGAGGAAAUGCUUAGGACAAUUGAUUUGCUUUUAUAUUUUAAAAUAAAGCCACUUUUCUACUGGUUAUUCUGCUGGAAUUACUAUUUUUUUAUUUAUUUUUUUCAUCUGGUAUAUGGUUAUAUAUUGCCAAAGGAGCAUUUUGAGGACAUUUUAA
This is a non-coding RNA of Pelobates cultripes (western spadefoot toad), 736 nucleotides long. The record is from the annotation of a GenBank genome assembly. Lineage: Eukaryota; Metazoa; Chordata; Amphibia; Anura; Pelobatidae.